AUUGUAUAAUAAAAAGCUAAUUAAUUGUAUAUAGUUAAUAAGUAAGUGAAAAUUUACAAUAAAAAAAAAAUUAGUUACUGACCUUAUACUGCCUUUUUCUUAUAACAGAGAACUCAGAUUGGUUAAAUAGUUUUUUUUUUUUAUUUUUUUUUUUAUAGUUUUUAAUAUUUUGUGAUUAGUUUAAGCUGAACAUGUCAAAAUUGCAUGCUGUGUUCACUGUAAUUAGAAUGAACAUUGUACACCUUUCAAAUUGUUACACACAUAAACCUUUUUUUUUUAUUGUAUCAUUCAAUUUGUGAACCGAAUAAAAAAAAAAAAAAACUAAAAUAAAAUCGACUGCGUUGCCAAUGG
Melitaea cinxia (Glanville fritillary) is the source of this 351-nucleotide long non-coding RNA. RefSeq lists it as uncharacterized. Lineage: Eukaryota; Metazoa; Arthropoda; Insecta; Lepidoptera; Nymphalidae. The transcript is spliced from 3 exons. The record is from RefSeq and is a predicted model, not a curated record.